CCAGACUCCUACGGGAGGCAGCAGUGAGGAAUAUUGGUCAAUGGCCGAAGGGCUGAACCAGCCAAGCCGCGUGAAGGAAUAAGGCCCUACGGGUCGUAAACUUCUUUAGUCAGGGAACAAAGGGUGCCACGUGUGGCGCUGUGAGUGUACCUGAAGAAUAAGCAUCGGCUAACUCCGUGCCAGCAGCCGCGGUAAUACGGAGGAUGCGAGCGUUAUCCGGAUUUAUUGGGUUUAAAGGGUGCGUAGGCGGUCCGUUAAGUCAGGGGUAAAUUGGCGGGGCUAAACCCCGUCGAGCCGUUGAAACUGGCAGACUUGAGUUGGCGAGAAGUAUGCGGAAUGCGUGGUGUAGCGGUGAAAUGCAUAGAUAUCACGCAGAACUCCGAUUGCGAAGGCAGCAUACCGGCGCCCAACUGACGCUGAAGCACGAAAGCGUGGGUAUCGAACAGGAUUAGAUACCCCGGUAU
This 464-nucleotide ribosomal RNA is filed under the name uncultured bacterium. RNAcentral's name for it is "bacterial SSU rRNA". It matches the Rfam family "Bacterial small subunit ribosomal RNA", at positions 331 to 793 of the family's 1533-position model. The record is from RNAcentral.